GACGAACGCUGGCGGCGUGUCUAAUACAUGCAAGUCGAACGGAGCGGCGGACGGGUGAGUAAUGCCUAGGAAUCUGCCUGGUAGUGGGGGAUAACGUCCGGAAACGGGCGCUAAUACCGCAUACUAUCAGAUGAGCCUAGGUCGGAUUAGCUCGUUGGUGGGGUAAAGGCCUACCAAGGCGACGAUCCGUAACUGGUCUGAGAGGAUGAUCAGUCACACGGGAACUGAGACACGGUCCAGACUCCUACGGGAGGCAGCAGUGGGGAAUAUUGGACAAUGGGCUAAAGCCUGAUCCAGCCAUGCCGCGUGUGUGAAGAAGGUCUUCGGAUUGUAAAGCACUUUAAGUUGGGAGGCGUGACCAACAGAAUAGGCACCGGCUAACGUCGUGCCAGCCGCCGCGGUAAUAC
This 407-nucleotide ribosomal RNA is filed under the name uncultured bacterium. Its description in RNAcentral is "partial 16S ribosomal RNA". It matches the Rfam family "Bacterial small subunit ribosomal RNA", at positions 28 to 526 of the family's 1533-position model. The record is from RNAcentral.